This 505-nucleotide ribosomal RNA is filed under the name uncultured bacterium. Its description in RNAcentral is "partial 16S ribosomal RNA". It matches the Rfam family "Bacterial small subunit ribosomal RNA", at positions 28 to 507 of the family's 1533-position model. The record is from RNAcentral.
GACGAACGCUGGCGGCGUGCCUAAUACAUGCAAGUAGAACGCACAGUUUAUACCGUAGCUUGCUACACCAUAGACUGUGAGUUGCGAACGGGUGAGUAACGCGUAGGUAACCUGCCUGGUAGCGGGGGAUAACUAUUGGAAACGAUAGCUAAUACCGCAUAAUAUUGAUUAUUGCAUGAUAAUUGAUUGAAAGAUGCUAUUGCAUCACUACCAGAUGGACCUGCGUUGUAUUAGCUAGUGGGUGAGGUAACGGCUCACCUAGGCGACGAUACAUAGCCGACCUGAGAGGGUGAUCGGCCACACUGGGACUGAGACACGGCCCAGACUCCUACGGGAGGCAGCAGUAGGGAAUCUUCGGCAAUGGACGAAAGUCUGACCGAGCAACGCCGCGUGAGUGAAGAAGGUUUUCGGAUCGUAAAGCUCUGUUGUAAGAGAAGAACGGGUGUGAGAGUGGAAAGUUCACACUGUGACGGUAUCUUACCAGAAAGGGACGGCUAACUACGUG